AGAGUUUGAUCAUGGCUCAGAAUCAACGCUGGCGGCGUGCCUCAGACAUGCAUGUCGAACGAGAACCUUCCUUCGGGGAGGGGACAGUGGCGCACGGGUGAGUAACACGUGGGUAAUUUACCUUUGGGUGGGGAACAACAGCCGGAAACGGCUGCUAAUACCGCAUAAUGCAGCGGCUCGACAUCGAGACAGUUGUUAAAGCGGGGGAUCUUCGGACCUCGCGCCUAAAGAGAAGCCCGCGGCAGAUUAGCUAGUUGGUAGGGUAAUGGCCUACCAAGGCGACGAUCUGUAACCGGCCUGAGAGGGCGGUCGGUCACACUGACACUGACAUACGGGUCAGACUCCUACGGGAGGCAGCAGUCGGGAAUUUUGGGCAAUGGGCGAAAGCCUGACCCAGCAACGCCGCGUGAAGGAUGAAGCUUUUCGGAGUGUAAACUUCAUAAGAAUGGGAAGAAUAAGUUUAGGAUAAUACCCUGAACGAUGACGGUACCAUUUGUAAGCUCCGGCUAACUCCGUGCCAGCAGCCGCGGUAAUACGGGGGGAGCAAGCGUUGUUCGGAUUUACUGGGCGUAAAGGGCGCGUAGGCGGCGCGACAAGUCACUUGUGAAAUCUCUGGGCUCAACCCAGAACGGUCAAGUGAUACUGUCGUGCUAGAGUGCGGAAGGGGCAACUGGAAUUCUUGGUGUAGCGGUGAAAUGCGUAGAUAUCAAGAGGAACACCUGCGGCGAAGGCGGGUUGCUGGGCCGACACUGACGCUGAGGCGCGAAAGCUAGGGGAGCGAACGGGAUUAGAUACCCCAGUAGUCC
Molecule: ribosomal RNA, 806 nt
Filed under: uncultured bacterium
Lineage: Bacteria
Description: bacterial SSU rRNA
Rfam family: Bacterial small subunit ribosomal RNA
Source: RNAcentral